RNAcentral lists this ribosomal RNA (515 nucleotides) under uncultured bacterium. Its description in RNAcentral is "bacterial SSU rRNA". It matches the Rfam family "Bacterial small subunit ribosomal RNA", at positions 29 to 535 of the family's 1533-position model. The record is from RNAcentral.
AUUGAACGCUGGCGGCAUGCCUAACACAUGCAAGUCGAACGGCAGCACAGUGUGUAGCAAUACACAUGGGUGGCGAGUGGCGGACGGGUGAGGAAUACAUAGGAAUCUGCCCUGUAGCGGGGGAUAGUCCGGGGAAACUCGGGGUAAUACCGCAUACGACCUACGGGUGAAAGAGGGGGAUCGUAAGACCUCUCACUAUAGGAUGAGCCUAUGUCGGAUUAGCUAGUUGGUGGGGUAAAGGCCUACCAAGGCGACGAUCCGUAGCUGGUCUGAGAGGACGACCAGCCACACCGGAACUGAGACACGGUCCGGACUCCUACGGGAGGCAGCAGUGGGGAAUAUUGGACAAUGGGGAAACCCUGAUCCAGCAAUGCCGCGUGUGUGAAGAAGGCCUCGGGUUGUAAAGCACUUAGGCCGGGAAGAAAAGCAUCACCUAAUACGUGAAGCCUUGACGGUACCGGCGGAAUAAGCACCGGCUAACUCUGUGCCAGCAGCCGCGGUAAUACAGAGGGUGC